UGAGGAAUAUUGGUCAAUGGGCGGAAGCCUGAACCAGCCAUCCCGCGUGCAGGAAGACGGCCCUAUGGGUUGUAAACUGCUUUUCCAGGGGGAGAAACUUUCCGAUGAAUCGGGAUUUGACGGUACCCUGGGAAUAAGCAUCGGCUAACUCCGUGCCAGCAGCCGCGGUAAUACGGAGGAUGCGAGCGUUAUCCGGAUUUAUUGGGUUUAAAGGGUGCGUAGGCGGAUCGAUAAGUCAGUGGUGAAAACCUGCAGCUUAACUGUAGACUUGCCGUUGAUACUGUUGGUCUUGAGUAUGGUCAAGGUAGGCGGAAUGUGUAAUGUAGCGGUGAAAUGCUUAGAUAUUACACAGAACACCGAUUGCGAAGGCAGCUUACUGGACCAUCACUGACGCUGAUGCACGAAAGCGUGGGGAUCGAACAGG
This 424-nucleotide ribosomal RNA is filed under the name uncultured prokaryote. RNAcentral's name for it is "bacterial SSU rRNA". It matches the Rfam family "Bacterial small subunit ribosomal RNA", at positions 355 to 776 of the family's 1533-position model. The record is from RNAcentral. RNAcentral also lists the same sequence under 1 other name.